UACGUAGGGUGCGAGCGUUGUCCGGAAUUAUUGGGCGUAAAGAGCUCGUAGGCGGUUUGUUGCGUCUAUCGUGAAAACCUGCGGCUUAACUGUGGGCUUGCGGUGGAUACGGGCAGACUUGAGUUCGGUAGGGGUGACUGGAAUUCCUGGUGUAGCGGUGAAAUGCGCAGAUAUCAGGAGGAACACCGGCGGUGUAGACGGCUCUCUGGACCGUAACUGACGCUGAGAUACGAAAGCGUGGGUAGCAAACAGG
This 253-nucleotide ribosomal RNA is filed under the name uncultured bacterium. Its description in RNAcentral is "partial 16S ribosomal RNA". It matches the Rfam family "Bacterial small subunit ribosomal RNA", at positions 524 to 776 of the family's 1533-position model. The record is from RNAcentral.